Molecule: signal recognition particle RNA, 280 nt
Filed under: Saimiri boliviensis boliviensis (Bolivian squirrel monkey)
Lineage: Eukaryota; Metazoa; Chordata; Mammalia; Primates; Cebidae
Description: Metazoan signal recognition particle RNA (ENSSBOG00000014674.1)
Rfam family: Metazoan signal recognition particle RNA
About the family: The signal recognition particle (SRP) is a universally conserved ribonucleoprotein. It is involved in the co-translational targeting of proteins to membranes.
Source: RNAcentral
GCUGGGUAUGGUGUUCUGUAGUCCCAGCUACUUGGGAGGCUGAGUCAGGAGGAUCACUUGAGCCCAGGAAUUCUGGGUUAUCGUCAACUAUGUGAUCAGGCGUCUGCACUAAGUUUGGCAUCAAUAUGGUGACAUUUUGGGAGCAGGGGACCACCAGGUUUGAGGAGGGGUUUCCAGGUUGGAAAUGGGGCAGCUCGACACUCCCUAGCUGAUCAGUAGUGAGACUGCUCCUGUGAGUAGCCACUGCACUCUGGCCUAGGCAACAGCGAGACCGCACUUA